RNAcentral lists this microRNA precursor (84 nucleotides) under Bombyx mori (domestic silkworm). RNAcentral describes it as "mir-2807 microRNA precursor family". It matches the Rfam family "mir-2807 microRNA precursor family". The record is from Rfam by way of RNAcentral. Lineage: Eukaryota; Metazoa; Arthropoda; Insecta; Lepidoptera; Bombycidae.
UUAUCUGAAAUUUGUAUGGAGUUGGAACGUUUGCCUACGUUUGCCGCUAGGGGCGCUGUUCCAACUGCAUAUAAAUUUGAGUUA